UAUCUGUAAAAUUUAUAUGUAUAUAUUAUUUUUUGUUUUCUUAUUAAAAUUUUUAAGAAACCUGAUGAUGGCAGGCGUGGUCCUGCCGAAACGUCGUAAUAAAGACAUCAUUCUCUAUGAACUGCAUCUUGUCAUCACUGACUGUCGAAACCAACGAAAUUUUAAUCAUUAACGCAACCACAUUUCUAUCUCACUAUGCACGUAUAGUUCAGACUACUAUGUGGGAAUAUUGCAAUAAAAUCAAGAAUUUAUCGUUCAACGGGCCAUACCUUCAUUUGGCUGGUACUCUACUAUACGUAUAUGUAUAGUAAUUUCUAACAAUAUUACUGUAAUUUAUGUAACACCAUAAUUGUCUUCAACAAUAAAAUAUAGUAGUCACUUCCAAUCACCGUAUUUUGUAGUGAAAAUAUGGUAAAGUCAACCAUUUUGUUUGGCGAAUGAUUUAUUCCUUUAUAUUGUGAUUCUUUUCGUUGGGAUAUUUAUAAAUUCUCAUGUAUCACUUUCGUUAAUGCAGUCUUGAUUGAAAAAAAGUUAGAAGAAAAUUUAAAAAAGUUCAUCACCUUUAAUUUGGUUGAGAAUGUUUGCCAUGGGUCAUGGGAUUUUUGUGAAUUUUUUCAAGCCGAUCGGCAAAGGCGUAAUUUCUGAAUUGUGAAAAAUUCGAAACUCGCAAAUAGUUCAGUGAAUCAGAAUUUGAAAAAUGUAAAAGAAUAUUUCAGAGGAAAUAUCACUACAUAAUGAAAACUCGGCCAUUGAAACGGAGAUGACGAGGGUCUUUAAUUUGUCGAUUUCACGAAAGAAAGCCCAUAUGUAUAAGAUACACAGUUUCAAUGAGUCGGACAGUGAUAUCGAGUGAGCUAAUCUUAUUAAGGAAACAGUUAAUUGAAUGAACGGGCCUUAUGAGAUUGUAAGAUAAUAUUUUGCUAUUAUUUAAUCUCGUAUAGAGAAAUAAGGAUGAAAUGAACCUAAUUACCAUAUGUUAGCAUGUAAUUAGUUUUUAACGAUUAGCCUUACUCAUUGACUGAUACUUAAACACGAAACUAAUGUUUCGUAUUACUUAGAAUAAACUUUGGGUUAGAAAAAAAACUUUGCAUUGACGCAUUAUGAAGCCUAACACUAAUUAUUAAUAUAAGUGUUAUUUUAAUAUUCAAGGUAUUUUCAGUUUUUCCUAUCUUCAAUAUGUUCUUAUUAAUAAUCAUAAUGACUAAAAUGAUUCUCUUAAUAAAAAUUCAAUAUCACUUAUCUUGUGAUAGUCUUGUGAUAAAUCAUUCCGUGACUAAUCCAUAACGCACAUAUUGAUAUAUUUCAUCAAAAUGUAUAACUUGACUUUAUAUAUUCCGUAUACUUCUAUUACUUUAUAUUCCACACUGUUUUCUCUUUUAUAAAUCGUAUGCGCCAUGCUUACAUUAUUAGUCUUAGAAGCUACGAUCAUGGGGUGAUUUAAGUAAUCAUCACGUAUGUCACUAUGAUCUUUAGUUUAUCCUGCAAGCAAUUUAUUUGAACAAUAAAAACCAAUUUUAUAUUUCGAAGAUUGUUUUCAAAAAUUGACAGCCUGCCACCGUAUUUACAGAGGAUACACCCGAAUAUAUGGUGGUGAUCAGCAAAGUUCAAUAAAACUGUGAAAGAUAGGGUAAGAAUUAGGAAAUAUAAAAAAUUGCUUAAUUCAAUCAAAACAUAUGUUUAUUAAUUGCUGACAUAACUUACACACUAUAUUAUUAUGAUUAGAUUGCCAAAGUAAGCACACCAAGGUACCCUAAGUAGAAUUUUCAAUUGGCUCAAAUAAGGCCAUUAUCGGACUUGCCUUACUACCUGAUCAGGUAUACAUCAGGCUACCUACCUGAUCAGGGCCUGAGCAGAAAUGUAACGUGCCGUUCUAGAAUGCCUUGAACAGACUGAGUUCAGGUACCAUGGUCAGACCCUGAUUAGUCGUUGAUCAGAACUGGAUCAGGGUCUCACCAGGUGUUGAUAAGGGCAGGUUAAGAUACUACCUGAUCAGGCUCAGGCAACGAUUCUACAGAAUUUUUUAUUUUUGAAAUAACAUGAUUUAAUUUUCGUUGGGUGAAACAGUCAAUGAUGACAAGAUGCAAUUCACAAUGGAUGAUGCUUUUAUUCAUUUAUUGAGGGCUUGUCGCGGAAAAUAAAAAAUAUACUGCGCAAAGAAAACAUCAAUGUGUCAUAUAAAAUCACCAACACGUUAAAUAAUUUAUUUACAUGUUUGAAAUCAAAAACACCCGCGCUUGAACAAACUAAUAUUAUCCAUAAGAUUAACUGUAUAGAUUUUGAUAAAUGCUACAUAGGCCAAUCUUCGCAACAUUUAAAAAAAAGGAUCGCUAAGCAGAAAUAUGACAUUAAAACACAUGAUCCAGACAGAUCGGCAUUAGCGUAUCACGCAUUGGUUGAAGGACAUAAGUUCAAUUUUGAAAAUGUAAAAAUCUUAGAAAAAGAGACAAACUGGCACAAAAGGAUUGUAAAAGAAAUGAUACACGUAUCGAGAAAUAAUACUGUAAACAAAAGAACUGAUAUUGAUAAUCUAAAUCACCUCUACGCAGACAUUUUAUAAGUCGCAAAAAGCAUAUGUGUUGAAGGUCAUACAAAUAAAGUGGCAGUACAUCAACAAUCACGUAGGCAAAUAUAUGACAUUCGAAUAUUGUUGUUAUAAUUAACAUUAGGAGUGUCAAAAUAACACAUGGAUAGUCACUUCUUUCUGAAACACCAUGUAAGCAACAUCGUUAAAGCUAAAGGAUAUCUAAAGAUGUAAGUUUGCAAUAUUUUAUUUUCAUACAACAACUUAUUAAUAAUAUUUAGUAGUGGCAUUUUUGUACAAUAACGUAAUUGAAAGCUCUAUCUGUGAAAUUUGUUAUUUAUUAAAAUUUAAGAAACCUGAUGAUGGCAGGCGGAGUCCUACCGAAACGUCGAAAUAAAUGCAUCAUCCAUUGUGAA
Molecule: long non-coding RNA, 2937 nt
Organism: Neodiprion fabricii
Lineage: Eukaryota; Metazoa; Arthropoda; Insecta; Hymenoptera; Diprionidae
Exons: 2
Source: RefSeq, a predicted model, not a curated record